CCGCGCAGCCGGCUCCCCCCGGACGCCAGGGCGUGUGCGGGCUCGCUGGCUCUUGCACUUGGGGGCUUUUCCUUUCCUCUCCCGUCUGUGUUCUGGUUCUGAAUUCAUCCAGGGUCCAGGAUGACAAUCCGACACCAGGGCCAGCAGUACAGGCCGAGGAUGGCAUUUCUCCAGAAGGCUGCCUCUUGGUCCUGAAGAAUCGGCAUUGCUUGGGCAGAAUGUUGGAGGGUGAAGAGCCUGUUACCAGGAGCAGAGGUGCGGGGACUGCAGUUCAGCUGGGCCCACUCCAGCUCUGAGCCAUGAAAGGAAAGGAAACUGAGGCUAGUAAGGGCCAAC
This is a non-coding RNA of Ceratotherium simum simum (southern white rhinoceros), 336 nucleotides long. NCBI's taxonomy places the organism in Eukaryota, Metazoa, Chordata, Mammalia, Perissodactyla, Rhinocerotidae. The record is from RefSeq and is a predicted model, not a curated record.